This 329-nucleotide unclassified non-coding RNA is filed under the name plant metagenome. RNAcentral's name for it is "partial contains 5.8S ribosomal RNA, internal transcribed spacer 2, and large subunit ribosomal RNA". The stretch from base 1 to 105 matches the Rfam family "5.8S ribosomal RNA", at positions 50 to 154 of the family's 154-position model. The record is from RNAcentral.
GAAAUGCGAUAAGUGAUGUGAAUUGCAGAAUUCCGUGAAUCAUCGAAUCUUUGAACGCACAUUGCGCCCUCUGGUAUUCCGGGGGGCAUGCCUGUCCGAGCGUCAUUGCGAACCCCUCAAGCACGGCUUGUGUGAUGGGCCCUCCCGCGUCUUGGUCGUCAAGACGGGCCCGAAAUGCAGUGGCGGCUUCGCGGUUAUCCGAUCAGCCAGAGCGUAUGGGGACUUUCUCUCUGUCACACGCCCGCGGCGCGGACCGACGCCUGUCGACCUUUAUUCAUCUUUUUCUCGGUUGACCUCGGAUCAGGUAGGGAUACCCGCUGAACUUAAGC